Molecule: long non-coding RNA, 1552 nt
Organism: Hemicordylus capensis (graceful crag lizard)
Lineage: Eukaryota; Metazoa; Chordata; Lepidosauria; Squamata; Cordylidae
Exons: 5
Source: RefSeq, a predicted model, not a curated record
AUACCAAAACUGCAAUAAUUGAAACCUUGGGCUUACCUGAAUGAGAGGGUUAGGGGGCCAUGAAUGAGGGUCAGCGGAAAAAAGCCCUGGAGGCUUUUCACACAGGGCUUUUAUUGUGAAUCCACUCCUAUUAGCUGGAUUUACCCCGACAUCCCUGCGGGCUAUCAGGGACCAUGACAGGCAGGACUUUGAUUUUCCCCGAAUGGGGGCUGAGAAUUCUGGCUUAGCCCGAAGUAUGCCCGGUUGGAUUCUUCUAAUGGUCAUCUCUGCUCUUACACAAAUGGGCUUUGCGCCUGCGCAGAUACCUCGUCGGAGCUUCUCCAAGCUAGAUCCUCUCAGCUUUUGGUGGUUGCUCCGCCCCCACUGGCUAUAUGCAGCUGCGUGGGCUUCCCUCUUCAGUCUUCUGAGUCCGCUAUCUGAAAAAGACUACAGAGGGAAGGGAAGGCGGGCAUGUAAGAGCACAGAUGACCACUAGAAGAACCCAAGUUACAGGUAAGCAACCCAACAUUCUUUGACAUGGUCUCUGUGUUUUACACGAAUGGGCGCAUAGCAAGCUGCACCCAGUGCCCGACUUACCUGGAGGUGGGUCUCAGGAAAAUACAGACUGCAACACUGCCCUGCUGAAGGAGUCAUCCCUUCAGGCACGAAUGUCAAGGGCGUAUUGUUGCAUGAAGGAAUGUUGGGAAGCCCACGUAGCAGCCUGGCAAAUAACGUCGAGUGGGAUAGAACUAUCAAAGGCCAUGGACGCUGCCAUGGCUCUAGUGGAGUGGGCCUUAAUGGAGGGUGGCAGUGGCCAUUUUGUGAUCUGAUAGGCCAAUGUGAUGGCGCGCACUGCUCAAUGGGAUAUUGUCUGUGCAGAAGCCUGAGCACCCUUGUGUGGGCUGGAGUGAGUGAUGAAGAGGAAGUGAGAGGCACGCCAAGCAGCAGUUCGAUCCACGUAAUAGGCCAGAGCGCACCGGACAUCUAAGGAGUGGAGUCGAUGCUGUGCAUCAUCUGAAGGAUUGGGGAAGAAGACAGGGGACCAAAGACCUUGGAGGUGGUGGUCCAGGGUGUGGGCACCCCACCCCUGUUCGGAGGCAUCCGUGGUGAGGAGCAGGCGGUGCUGGAGAAGAUGGAAGGGGGAUCCAACAACGAGGGUCCAAGGUGUGCGUGCUGCCCUCAGGGUCGCUGAGCUCGGGAUCGAGGUCAACAGUAUCAAAGGCACUGUCAGAUCUGAAGGCAAAGUUUGAGCCGUAGGCUCAGAAGCUGGAGGAUUACAUUUGGAGGAACAGCCAUACUAUGAUGGAGCAGAGCUGAGUUCAGUUCUCUGCAGUGAAGAACUACAGCAUUUACCUGAGUACAAGAGGACUCUGAAUUCAAGACAAGCCCCUUAAAAAAACAGAGCUCCAGCCCUGCUUCCUUCCACCACCCGACCUUGCCAACCAAUUUGAUGGACAGACCGGCCAAGAAAUCAAAUACAGAUGCAGUUGUCUUUCUUGUCCCUUCUCCUGUGCUUUGGAUGGGCUGUGAGCCUUUCAAAAAUAAAUACAUGGAAAUACACACACACAACAUA